RNAcentral lists this ribosomal RNA (256 nucleotides) under uncultured bacterium. RNAcentral's name for it is "partial 16S ribosomal RNA". It matches the Rfam family "Bacterial small subunit ribosomal RNA", at positions 524 to 776 of the family's 1533-position model. The record is from RNAcentral.
UACGAAGGGUGCAAGCGUUUAAUCGGAAUUACUGGGCGUAAAGCGUGCGUAGGCGGUUUGUUAAGUCUGCUGUGAAAUCCCCGGGCUCAACCUGGGAAUGGCAGUGGAUACUGGCAAGCUAGAGUGUGUCAGAGGAUGGUGGAAUUCCCGGUGUAGCGGUGAAAUGCGUAGAGAUCGGGAGGAACAUCAGUGGCGAAGGCGGCCAUCUGGGACAACACUGACGCUGAGGCACGAAAAGCGUGGGGAGGCAAACAGG